CUGUGGACUCCUAGCAGACGUUACCGUAGCAACUGGCCCUCCUCCAGUGAAGAAGGUUACCCUCGCCUACAAAUACAGAAGAGGACACUACAGAAACUGCUGGGAACUUUCGCCUAUAGCCCUAUUUCAUGAUGACCCUGCUAAGGUACCCCAACCACAAAACCGCUACACUUUCGGCAGUAUUCUGAGGGAGGAAGAAAACACAGUCGAUGAGGAGGUAUCAGACAAAGGGCUAUAAGAAAAAAAGAACAACCCCUGUAUAUCCAAUCACUGACAUUUACACUGACGAUCUGAUCCUCAUCAUGGCCCCCUUGAAUCAGCACCUGCGGUUUGAUGUGCCUGAAGUGUUGCAAGAAGUGUUUCACAGUGGCACGGACAUCUCAGCACGCAGCCGUGGUUGUUGGUGCUUGGGUUGGACCCAGGAGAUCUGGACCUUGAUUCUACUGCUGUUUUGUUUAUGAGCAGCCUCGCAGAAACAAACUGUGAUUGACACCUGCUUAGGUGUUAAUGAAAAGCCCAGACACAACAGCCUC
Acanthopagrus latus (yellowfin seabream) is the source of this 533-nucleotide long non-coding RNA. RefSeq lists it as uncharacterized. Lineage: Eukaryota; Metazoa; Chordata; Actinopteri; Spariformes; Sparidae. The record is from RefSeq and is a predicted model, not a curated record. The transcript has 4 exons.